Molecule: unclassified non-coding RNA, 734 nt
Filed under: Hevea brasiliensis (rubber tree)
Lineage: Eukaryota; Viridiplantae; Streptophyta; Magnoliopsida; Malpighiales; Euphorbiaceae
Source: RNAcentral
AUAAUAAAUUCUAAUCCAACAAACCACCCCCAAAAACUGAAAAAUAUAACACAAUGAAACACAGAAAAUAUAAAAACUUGCCAUAACCAACUUUAAAUAGGGCAUUCUACCAGUUCAACAAGGAAAUAGGAAACCAAAAGACAUCAGAACAAAAAGUCAUGGCAUAAAGCAGUCUGACACAAUUAAAAGCUCAAUAUAAUCCUACAUAGGUCUCAAACACAAUUUAAGAUCCAUCUAGCCCAUCAAAAGCGCAGCACUUAAUCAAACAAGCUAAAACCCAUAUCAUCAUCAGAUUCUUCUUUCUCCUCCACCUUCUCUUCCUUCUUCGGCUCAGCAGCAGCUGCUGCAGGGGCAGCUGCACCACCACCACCACCUGCCGACACUGCCACAGCCACACCACCACCACCAGAUGGAACAGAUGCAAAUUUCUCUCUUCCAGAAGCAAUCAACUCAGUUAUAUCCUUGCCUUUAACUUCAGCAAGCAAAAACUCAAUCCGCUCAUCUUCAGCCUCAGCACCAACUGAUCCAAGAAUAUGCUUGAUAUCCUUGCUUGACGGGCUAGAGUUACCACCAAGUAAAGCCAGGAGGUAGGCAGCAAUGACCUUCAUUGUAAUUAUUUUACAGGUCACCAAAAACUCCUACAUUUCAAUCAAGCCUACUACUCUGAUGAGGGUUGGAGGUCGGAGCCGCCGGGAGAGGAGGAUGGGAUCUCGGCUAGGGUUCUCCGACCUCCA